Molecule: ribosomal RNA, 481 nt
Filed under: uncultured bacterium
Lineage: Bacteria
Description: partial 16S ribosomal RNA
Rfam family: Bacterial small subunit ribosomal RNA
Source: RNAcentral
GAUGAACGCUGGCGGCGUGCUUAACACAUGCAAGUCGAACGAACCAUUUGCGACAUUUUUUUUCGGAAUUAAGUUGCUUAUGACUGAGUGACGGACGGGUGAGUAACGCGUGGGUAACCUGUCUUUUACUGGGGGAUAGCAGCUGGACACGGCUGGUAAUACCGCAUAAGCGCCCAAUGUUACAUGACAUUUUGCUAAAAACUCCGGUGGUAUAAGAUGGACGCGCGUCUGAUUAGCUAGUUGGUGAUAUAACAGCCCACCAAGGCGACGAUCAGUAGCCGGGAAGAGAGGGUGACCGGAGACAUUGGGAGUGAGACGCGGUACAGAAUCUUACGGGAGGGGGGAGAGGGGAAUAUUGCAAAACGGAGGGAAUGCUGAUGGAGCGACGAUGGGUGAAUGAAGUAAUAAUUCGUGAUGUAAAGCUCUAGCAGCAGGGAAGAUAGUGACGGUACCUGACUAAAAAGCCCCGGCUAAAUACGUG